GAAGGCUGAGCUCCGCGCAAAUACACGAUGAAGUGUUGCUCGGAGC
This is a regulatory RNA element of Vibrio proteolyticus NBRC 13287, 46 nucleotides long. It matches the Rfam family "uup RNA". The record is from Rfam. Lineage: Bacteria; Pseudomonadati; Pseudomonadota; Gammaproteobacteria; Vibrionales; Vibrionaceae.